UGAAGAAUUCCCAUUUAGUUUCUUUUCGCCACUCUCCAAACAUCUAUGCCCUCAGCUCAUGGAUUUCUGACAGAGGUAUUAUGGAGGAAUGAACGUCCAGAAAGAAAGAGUAGCGAUAUUUUCGGCAUUUUAGUAUCGUUACAGCGGAAGUUGGACUUCCGCGGAAGGAUUUAAAGAAAACCAGCUUUUAACCUGGUACUUCAACAGCUGAUGAAAAUGUCUUUUUUGUGGAUUAAUGGCCAGUACCAAUUGGGACCACUCACUCAGGCCUCAAAGGCUGCCACUCGGUUAAGCCACGACACGAUGAUGAAUCCGCAAGCUAGGAAUGAGAAUAACCCAUGCCAGUACAUGGCAGCGAACAAAGGAGUCCAACAACCACUAAGAGCCAAUUACAACCCUCAUAAUGGAGGUAACUCAAACAAACAACCGUCAAAUUCGCAGGCCAUAUCAGUCCCUCAUCAGUCAGUGUCACGUCAGUUGUCAGACAGGGGGUAUAGUGACUUUCUGAUUAGGUUGUUAACUGAAGAUCAGCAACCCUCAAAUAAUGCUGAAAGGGGAAAUCCUGGUUUGCCGGUCUCUAAUGGAUUUCAACAAGCUUAUCAUGAGAACUAUGCUUGGCCCAACACAAUGAAAGCAAAAAAAACAUACUCUCAGCAAGAUGUGUCUUCGAUUUGGAACCAGUCAGCUAAAGUUCAUGGGAAUCAACCAGAAAAGGACACAGGAUGUUAAUGUUGUAGCUGAUCUCCAACAGAAUAACUUGUAUCAUAUGUAUAAAGGAGUGUCGACUAUUCCUGUUUCACAACACAACACAACAGCUACCCCGGCUGAGAAUGUAGAGGUGGUUGUCACAGAUGCGGUGCACAACACAACCCCCCCUUAUAACCAUAAUCCCAGGCCAAAUGGCACUCAGCAUGGUUUUCCCUCUUCAAUUCCCCCUCCAAGUUAUAAGGCAGCCAUGCAUCAGUCUUACAGAAACAACAGCAUUCAACAAAUUCACGCUCAGGUUUACAGAAUAUGCAAGUUUCCUGCAGGAGUCAAAAUGCUCAACAAUACUCAACACAUUACAAUGGUGCAGAGGCAACCAUUAACACAAAUUCAUAUAGCAGGCAGCAUGAAACCAGCCUUCAACAUUCUGCUCUUACACAACAGGAAAUGCACGAAACAAAUCAAAUCGCCAGAAUUGAGGAAUACCUACGUAGCACGGUUCCUGUUGACUCAGACGGUCGUCCAGUGAAUUCAAGUUUCUCUAAUGGAGGAAAGCAGUCUGUCAACUCAAAUGCCUCCAUGUCUUUGCCAGUCAAUUCUGGACAAUCUUUGCCUACAACCAACCACAGUUUUAUGCCACCAAACCACAACCCAGAUGUGCCACUUCAGCAAAGCACUGCACCAAAUCUAUUUUUUGCACAAGAUGGAAGUGGAAAUGGAAGUAAAGCAGCCUAUGCCCUUUUCUCCCUGAACAAUUUUGUGUCUUUAAGAGAUGCAGCUCUUCUGAAGCAGUUGCCUGAAGAUGUUUCUUCACAGAGAAUUGAGACUCAAUCAUCUGCAGCAAAUAAUCAUGAAUGGGUUGAAAUAAUCUCGUCAGUCAAGGCAAAUGCCAGCUCCAUUCACUCUUCACCUGGUUGCACGAGAGCUGUUGCUGUUGUGCAGCCAUUGUUGCAGGAAAGCUACCAGGAUGCCAGCAAGCAGACCUGUUCGACCACCGUCAAUCAAUUAUCUGCAGAAAAAUCUGCAAUCUCGCAUUCAUCUGCAAACAACGCUGGUACCUUUGAGUCAGAUUUAGUUUCAGCUGAGACUCAUGACUUGUCUGAAAAACAGUUGUGUGCUGAUGACAUAGUAUCUGAAGUGCCUUUUAACAUGCAAAGAGAGCAGCCAUUUGUACUUAAUGUGGAAACAUCUAUAACCUCCAAAGUGCCUGUAAGCCAAAGCAGUGAAAAGGACCAAAGUGAGAGGCCAACAGAUCCAAAAAAGGUACUUGACCUCUCCUCCAUCCCAACAAUUCCAUGGACACUCGAUGCAUUAACUAAAGAAGUACAAAAAAGAGAAAAAGCACGGAUAGAGUUAAAUGUUGCAUACUUAAACUCUGACAACAAAUGGCCAAAUACAGUGUUUGGGGAUGUCAACGUUAAAGAUAUGGCAACUUUGUUCAAGAGGUACAGGGAUUUAAACUAUGACAUUCAUGAAUUAUAUAACAAACAUGUAACGCCAGACUCUGUCAUACUAUUACAAGUAGAGCAAUGCUUUAGUGAGCAACUCAAAAGCUUCCAUGUCCUCAAAGAUAAUGAAGUUUAUUCAGAACCACCCUACACAUCAUCAUGGUUGAAUGUUAAUGAGCAGCUAGAUGAGAUUGACGAAGAGUUUGACUUCCCACCGUCUUUGAAGCAUCGUUUUGAGAGCCAGCCAGAUCAGGUCCAAACAGACAACAGCCUUCCUGAAAUAAUUGAUUUGGCUGAGGAAAAGCAAGACUCAGCUGUGGAUGCGGAUUCAACAGGUACGGCUUCUCCUGAUGGAACAGAAAUUGCCGACCCCAGUGACUCGCGUUAUGCCUUUAAAAUCCAAGUUUUAUCUCAAGCAGAGGCCAAAGUCAUCUUUGAGCAAAUACAAGGCAAGCUGACAACAAGUACGGACACACACUAUCACCAGAAGAGAGUCACAAAAAGCCCUGUGGAGGGAGAACUGCCUAAGGAUACAGUUUCCACAGUGAGUAACACAGUACUGGGGAACAAGUCUGUCUCUUCAGUAGACCAGGUUUGCUGCGUUGUAAGGUGUAUGGAACAAAUCUCGGGGUCAAAUCCUGCUUUUUUUCGUAAAUGCGAUUGCAAGAACCCGCAAAAUCAUGAGGAUAUAUCACACAAAACCCUCGAUAUGGAAGAGAUUGCAGUACAUCAGGAAGAUAAAAUGUGUGCGUUCAGGUCUGAUAGCAAAUUCCACUCUGUGGCAGAAGGAAUGAAGCUAGCUGAGGGCGACAAGAAUGUAGACAAUCAGCUUGAGACAGUUGGUUUGCUUGAGAUAUGCACUGAACUUGACAUCGCCAUUGACUUAACUGAAACUAAUGACAAAGCUCACUGUUAUUCUGACAACAAACCAAAUCAUCUCCCCAGCAGUGACAGGGAAGUUGCCAGCCCAAUGUCUAACCUUGAAAAAAAUUGUGAACAAGCUCAGCUGAAAUCUACAAAUGUGGCUAAGUUAUCAUUGGAAACUGAAGACAGUCAAACUCAAGCUGCGAUCAGUUCCGCACAGACAACUUGUACUGAUAAACAUGAUGUUGUAGGAAAGAGGAAACUUAUUUUUUAUCCAUUCUUCCAGAAAUCAAAGAAACGCAAAUCCCUUGUUGAAUCUAAGCGUGUCCUUGAGGGUGCUUCCAAUCAGAAGGUUUUGGUCUGUGCAACUGAGAGUGAACCAUCAGCCUCUAACGCUCGAACUGUUGAGCUGGUACUGUUUGGCUCAUCAGCACAAACCAAGUGUGUUUUGAUUGGCAGCAGAGAGAGACACAUUUUACCUGCCCAAGCUGUUUUUGCUGCACUACAAAAGCCUCCGAUGUUUCUCACAGUUAAACUCAGUCCCUUGAAGAGAAAGUCUGAAAGUGAAACUGCCUGGGCCAAGAAACAUUCAGACAAACAAAGGGAUUCUGAAAAAUCAAUGACAGCUUUCCCACGAACAAAAAGGAGGAACAGACACAAACUCGAAACACAGAAGUGUACUUUUGCCCCUGCAUCCGGGCAAAGUCUGAAGAAAGCUAAAAAGGUUGACCCCGCCAACACUGAGGAGAUUCCCUCUGAAACUGGGAUAUUGAGUGGAAAAACUAGGCCCUGCCUGAGUCUGAAGAAGAGGAGAUCCCACUCUAAAAAAAACAAACGUGGAAGGGAGAAGAAACGCACCGUCACAUUCUCCCUGCCUGCAGAUCAAGAGAGAAGUAAGGCUGAAAUUGAGAGCAAGGCAGUCAUGCCUCUCCAGAAGAAAGAUGUCCUGAAGUUCAGUGUCUUACCCAAAACCUUCAACUUCAAAGACACAUCCAAUGGCAGAAAGGAACAUAAUGAUCCUGUUCCAGAAAUUUCUGACCUCGUUGAAGAACAGCGCAAGAGCCAAAGCCAGACUAUCAAGACGGCAAUGGGUCCAUGGUAUCCAAAUCCAGAAAAUACGUUUAUGUCCAUGCCUCUGACCCCCACGACCGACGGCCUCUUCCAUGAGUUUCAAAGGAAAUACAAGGACAAGAUGCAGCCAUCCGUUGAUAAAUAACUUGACAGGAAGAAAACACGAUUUUUAAGUCAAGGAUUUUCUUAUGUCUGGGAAAUUCUUCGUGAAUUAAAUCUCUUGCCAAGACUUCAAGAAAUGAUGUCUUUUGUUUUUGUACUGCAUAUUUAAAGAAAUAUUAAGGAAAUUGAAGUUUUCAGUUUUGUAUAAAUGUGUUCCAAAAAAUCUGUCCAUUAUGCUAUGUGUCAAUAUGUGUCACAUCUGUUCUCAUUAGUUCACAUGUAGAAUUGUCAUUUGUUUACAUUGCUCUGAAAGCUAACAGGUUAUCCACUCUAAGUCUGAUAAACAUUUUAUAUGCAGAACUUUACUUUUUGACAUUCUGACAUUUUUAUAUUUUCAUACUUUUCUACUUCAACAAUAUUUUUCUGCUUUGUUUAUAUCUUACAAAUAUAUAUUUUUUAAUGAAAAAGAAGAAUCACAAAUAAACAAAAUCACUGAGAAUAAA
Molecule: long non-coding RNA, 4693 nt
Organism: Eleginops maclovinus (Patagonian blennie)
Lineage: Eukaryota; Metazoa; Chordata; Actinopteri; Perciformes; Eleginopidae
Exons: 3
Source: RefSeq, a predicted model, not a curated record